AAUCCAUAGGUUAAUGAGGCGAACCGGGGGAACUGAAACAUCUAAGUACCCCGAGGAAAAGAAAUCAACCGAGAUUCCCCCAGUAGCGGCGAGCGAACGGGGAGGAGCCCAGAGCCUGAAUCAGCAUGUGUGUUAGUGGAAGCGUCUGGAAAGGCGCGCGAUACAGGGUGACAGCCCCGUACACAAAAGCGCAUGUGCUGUGAGCUCGAUGAGUAGGGCGGGACACGUGGUAUCCUGUCUGAAUAUGGGGGGACCAUCCUCCAAGGCUAAAUACUCCUGACUGACCGAUAGUGAACCAGUACCGUGAGGGAAAGGCGAAAAGAACCCCGGCGAGGGGAGUGAAAAAGAACCUGAAACCGUGUACGUACAAGCAGUGGGAGCACCCUUUGGGGUGUGACUGCGUACCUUUUGUAUAAUGGGUCAGCGACUUAUAUUCUGUAGCAAGGUUAACCGUAUAGGGGAGCCGGAGGGAAACCGAGUCUUAAUUGGGCGUUAAGUUGCAGGGUAUAGACCCGAAACCCGGUGAUCUAGCCAUGGGCAGGUUGAAGGUUGGGUAACACUAACUGGAGGACCGAACCGACUAAUGUUGAAAAAUUAGCGGAUGACCUGUGGCUGGGGGUGAAAGGCCAAUCAAACCGGGAGAUAGCUGGUUCUCCCCGAAAGCUAUUUAGGUAGCGCCUCGUGAAUUCAUCUCCGGGGGUAGAGCACUGUUUCGGCUAGGGGGCCAUCCCGGCUUACCAACCCGAUGCAAACUGCGAAUACCGGAGAAUGUUAUCACGGGAGACACACGGCGGGUGCUAACGUCCGUCGUGAAGAGGGAAACAACCCAGACCGCCAGCUAAGGUCCCAAAGUCAUGGUUAAGUGGGAAACGAUGUGGGAAGGCCCAGACAGCCAGGAUGUUGGCUUAGAAGCAGCCAUCAUUUAAAGAAAGCGUAAUAGCUCACUGGUCGAGUCGGCCUGCGCGGAAGAUGUAACGGGGCUAAACCAUGCACCGAAGCUGCGGCAGCGAACGUAUCACUUAAAGCGAUUCAGCGGGUUACGACUGACGGAGCGAAGCGACGUCAAAGCGUAUACAAAGUCGAGUCGGUUUAAGGAUACGUUCGUUGGGUAGGGGAGCGUUCUGUAAGCCUGCGAAGGUGGCCUGUGAGGGUUGCUGGAGGUAUCAGAAGUGCGAAUGCUGACAUAAGUAACGAUAAAGCGGGUGAAAAGCCCGCUCGCCGGAAGACCAAGGGUUCCUGUCCAACGUUAAUCGGGGCAGGGUGAGUCGACCCCUAAGGCGAGGCCGAAAGGCGUAGUCGAUGGGAAACGGGUUAAUAUUCCCGUACUUGGUGUUACUGCGAAGGGGGGACGGAGAAGGCUAUGUUGGCCGGGCGACGGUUGUCCCGGUUUAAGCGUGUAGGUGUGUGUUCCAGGUAAAUCCGGUUCACUUUAACACUGAGGCGUGACGACGAGGCACUACGGUGCUGAAGCAACAAAUGCCCUGCUUCCAGGAAAAGCCUCUAAGCAUCAGGUAACAUCAAAUCGUACCCCAAACCGACACAGGUGGUCAGGUAGAGAAUACCAAGGCGCUUGAGAGAACUCGGGUGAAGGAACUAGGCAAAAUGGUGCCGUAACUUCGGGAGAAGGCACGCUGACACGUAGGUGAAGUGAUUUACUCAUGGAGCUGAAGUCAGUCGAAGAUACCAGCUGGCUGCAACUGUUUAUUAAAAACACAGCACUGUGCAAACACGAAAGUGGACGUAUACGGUGUGACGCCUGCCCGGUGCCGGAAGGUUAAUUGAUGGGGUCAGCGCAAGCGAAGCUCCUGAUCGAAGCCCCGGUAAACGGCGGCCGUAACUAUAACGGUCCUAAGGUAGCGAAAUUCCUUGUCGGGUAAGUUCCGACCUGCACGAAUGGCGUAAUGAUGGCCAGGCUGUCUCCACCCGAGACUCAGUGAAAUUGAACUCGCUGUGAAGAUGCAGUGUACCCGCGGCAAGACGGAAAGACCCCGUGAACCUUUACUAUAGCUUGACACUGAACAUUGAGCCUUGAUGUGUAG
RNAcentral lists this ribosomal RNA (2039 nucleotides) under Salmonella enterica subsp. enterica serovar Blockley. Its description in RNAcentral is "partial 23S ribosomal RNA". It matches the Rfam family "Bacterial large subunit ribosomal RNA", at positions 161 to 2141 of the family's 2925-position model. Lineage: Bacteria; Pseudomonadati; Pseudomonadota; Gammaproteobacteria; Enterobacterales; Enterobacteriaceae. The record is from RNAcentral.